AGUGAACGCUGGCGGCGUGCUUAACACAUGCAAGUCGAACGAGAACGGAUUAUAGCUUGCUAUAAUUGUCAGCUAAGUGGCGCACGGGUGAGUAAUGUAUAGAUAACCUGCCCUCUAGAAAAGGAAUAACAGUUGGAAACGACUGCUAAUGCCCUAUAUGCCUUUAAUACAUAAGUAUGCAAGGGAAACGCUUUAGUGCUAGAGGAUGGGUCUGUAUGGUAUCAGUUAGUUGGUGAGGUAAUGGCUCACCAAGACUAUGACGCCUAACUGGUUUGAGAGGAUGAUCAGUCACACUGGAACUGAGACACGGUCCAGACUCCUACGGGAGGCAGCAGUGGGGAAUAUUGCACAAUGGACGAAAGUCUGAUGCAGCAACGCCGCGUGGAGGAUGACACAUUUCGGUGCGUAAACUCCUUUUAUAUAGGAAGAUAAUGACGGUACUAUAUGAAUAAGCACCGGCUAACUCCGUG
This 470-nucleotide ribosomal RNA is filed under the name uncultured bacterium. RNAcentral's name for it is "bacterial SSU rRNA". It matches the Rfam family "Bacterial small subunit ribosomal RNA", at positions 29 to 507 of the family's 1533-position model. The record is from RNAcentral.